AAUUUAGAUCUUAACAAAACAAGUGCCCUGGGAUUGUAAUAAUGAUUGAUUUUCUUGUUUUUCUUAGAUGCCCAUUUUCAGGGUCUUGAUGAAGAGAUGCACAAUUACUUGCAAAAGCAUCAAGAUAUAGACUUGCACUGUGCACCAGUAAGUUUUGCAAAGAAGUUGAACAGGUCACCUGGGAGAAAUAUGAGUGGCGUGGAGACUCAUGUUGUCUAUGCUGAAAUAAAAUGAUUUACAGAUUAUUAAAAGAUUGUUCUUUGUGGAGACUGGUUAACAUAUGAUAUGUCACCAAAACGUGAAAUUCUGAUUGUGUGUUCUUAGUGGUGAGUUAAGGUGUGUUGUGUUAAAAUUAUAAUGUACAUUCUUUAAAUACAUAAUAAUACAUUUUCUUGGGAUUUUCUGCUUCAAAUGGCAAAAUACUGUGUAUUGUGUAUUUUCUUUCAUCAAUAGUUUAAGGAUUAUUUUAAUCAGAGAGUACACACUUGAAUGACGUAUAAAUCACAACAUGGUUUUAUUUCCAUAACUAGGUCUUAUUUAAUUGCUUUUAAUGCAUCUGUGCCAUCUUAGUAGUGUAAAGACAGCAUUAAGUAAGCAAAAUCUCAAGCUCUACCAGUGUCUGUGGACUGCAGUUUGAAUGCCAUGUGGCUGAUAGAUUUAAAUUCAAGAGUAGGCUCUUGUUGGGUUAUUCCAGAAAAUUUAACUCCAAGCCAGUUAAAAAGCAAAUAUAUGAAUUAAAACUAUAAUAUUAUUCUCCUUAAGUUUGGGUGGUGGUAUUCUCCACCAAUUUGGGUGGUGUUGGCGCAGUGGAUAAGACACAUGCCUUUGGUAUGAAAGAUCCGGGUUUGAAUCCACUGUGAGACACCAAUGUGUACCUGAGGCAAGACACUCAACCCUUAGUUGCUCCAGAGGCGUGCGACCUCUAACAUAUAUAGCAACUGUAAAUCACUUUGGAUAGAAGCAUCAGCUAAAUGUAAAUAAAUAAAUUCAUUUGCAUCUUUAUUUGUUUUGUGAUAGAUAUUCUCUGAGAAGUGAAUUUGAAAGGAGUGGAUUAUAUUCUUGCAUUUCAUUCCAGUAAAGUCAAAUAGACUAGUCUUCUGUGAGUCAGUGUGAAAAGACAGCAGAUGCCGAUACAGUGUGAUUGCAAUAAUUUAUUUACUGAUUGUACUAGAGGUAAUUGACAUGCAAAGGAUUUUUC
RNAcentral lists this long non-coding RNA (1198 nucleotides) under Carassius auratus (goldfish). Its description in RNAcentral is "lncRNA (ENSCARG00000008030.1)". Lineage: Eukaryota; Metazoa; Chordata; Actinopteri; Cypriniformes; Cyprinidae. The record is from RNAcentral.